AUGGACUUGCUGGUUCUUCUGGAGAUCACACUUACAUGGGAACCAGAAUCCCUGGCUGUCUCUCUGGGAGAGAGAGUCUCCAUCAGUUGCAAGGUCAGUCAGAGAGUCCUAUAUGGAAGGGAGUCCGGGACUGACUUCACUCUCACCUUCAGCAGCCUGGAUAUUGAGGAUGCUGCAGUCUAUAACUGUCUUCAAACACUCAAGAAUCCUUACACAGUGAUUGAGCCCCUAACUCCCCACCUGGGUCUGCCCACAGAGCCCGGCAGCCCCAUAUCUGUUCCUCACUCAAGAGUUGCUCUGACAGACAUAGUUGAAGAUAUUUAA
Non-coding RNA from Chrysochloris asiatica (Cape golden mole), 324 nucleotides. The record is from the annotation of a RefSeq genome assembly. NCBI's taxonomy places the organism in Eukaryota, Metazoa, Chordata, Mammalia, Afrosoricida, Chrysochloridae.